AUGAAAAGAAAAGCUGGACUGUGCCAAGCUGGUGUGCCUUGUCCCAGUACCGUGAGGACGCAGCCCUGCCCAACCAAGCACCGGGCAGCAGGACUAUGGGCUCAGAGGAUACGAGGAGGUCUCACACCACCACUCAGUCACCACCACCACUUCCCUUGGGCUGGGGUUGGAGAGGGCCAAGCUCUGCUCCUAGCAGCUCUCACAGGAGAUUCAGCGAGGACCUGUGCAGACCCUGGACCUCUUCUCUGUCAAGAAAUUGUUUUUUCCUGUGAAAUGCUACAGGUGCUAAAGACAACUCAAACAGCAUUGCAGGAAGGAGUCCCCAAAGGGGUCCUGAGCGCUGAAUCCGUCCUCACACUGCAGCACAACAGCAGCGCUCGCUACCAGGAGGACCAGAGCUGACACUGCUGCUGAUACAUUUUGUUUUUCCCUUUCUACCUCCAUUGGCUACCACUGCACGUGCCCUCACCUGUAUCAUUCACCACAGAGCGGACAGCGUUACAUGCUGUUUUCUGCGGUCUCCAGCAUUCACUUCGUGGUACCUUCCUGACUUGGGACUUCUUUCUUGCAGUAGUUUGUAUGAAACAUCUCACAGUGCUGCUUUCCAGGAACUCCAUUCUGGACAGGAUUAAUUCCUUUGUGUGGCAAAUUUUAAUUGUUCUAUCAAGGUGUUUUUUUCUUUCUUUUUUUUUUUUUUUUGAGUUUUCCAACCCCUUCCCCUGGUGUUUUGUCCCAAAUCCCAGCCAUAAUAUAUUCUCUCUAAUGAGAGAACAUAAUUGUAAGAUCGGUACUUCAACCUUCUAUUACUCACAGGCUCUUUUAUAGUUUCAUCCUGAGUUUGUACCAAGGUUGUUUUUUUUUUUUCCUAUUGAAAAAUAAGAGGUUGACGUAUUUCAUCUUUCUUGGAGGACCACUGUUCUUGCAUUGUUUUACUACCGUUUUGUACUCCUCUGCUGGAGUUAAGGAAAAGCCACAAAAAGGUGCUGGUUCCCCAAAUCAGCCAUUGUUAAGAAAGAGGGCAGCUGCUGACUCUUUUUAUUCACUAGAAGUGUCAAUAAAUGCUUUCAGUCAUUGUAUGUGUUUCUGAAG
Molecule: long non-coding RNA, 1089 nt
Filed under: Anser brachyrhynchus (Pink-footed goose)
Lineage: Eukaryota; Metazoa; Chordata; Aves; Anseriformes; Anatidae
Description: lncRNA (ENSABRG00000013976.1)
Source: RNAcentral